Molecule: unclassified non-coding RNA, 216 nt
Filed under: Hevea brasiliensis (rubber tree)
Lineage: Eukaryota; Viridiplantae; Streptophyta; Magnoliopsida; Malpighiales; Euphorbiaceae
Source: RNAcentral
GGACUUUGGUAUAUCACAUUUGAAGCUUAAGGAUCUAAUUGAUUUCUGUAAAGAUAUUGGAUUGCAGUCCAGUGUGGCUGCUAGCAGAAAUGCCACUAUUAAACUUUGGGUGCUUUGCAUAAAUUUGUUGGUCCAGACAUCAAAGGGUUUCUUGCUGAUGUUAAACCUGCUCUGCUUAGUGCUCUAGAUGCUGAGUAUGAAAAAAAUCCUUUUGAG